CCAGACUCCUACGGGAGGCAGCAGUGGGGGAUAUUGCACAAUGGGGGGAACCCUGAUGCAGCGACGCCGCGUGGGUGAAGGAGUGCUUCGGCAUGUAAAGCCCUAUCGGCAGGGAAGAAGCAAGACGGUACCUGACUAAGAAGCCCCGGCUAACUACGUGCCAGCAGCCGCGGUAAUACGUAGGGGGCAAGCGUUAUCCGGAUUUACUGGGUGUAAAGGGGGCGCAGACGGCAAUGCAAGCCAGGAGUGAAAGCCCGGGGCCCAACCCCGGGACUGCUCUUGGAACUGCAUGGCUGGAGUACAGGAGGGGCAGGCGGAAUUCCUAGUGUAGCGGUGAAAUGCGUAGAUAUUAGGAGGAACACCGGUGGCGAAGGCGGCCUGCUGGACUGUGACUGACGUUGAAGCCCGAAGGCGUGGGGAGCAAACAGGAUUAGAUACCCCGGUAAUU
Molecule: ribosomal RNA, 448 nt
Filed under: uncultured bacterium
Lineage: Bacteria
Description: bacterial SSU rRNA
Rfam family: Bacterial small subunit ribosomal RNA
Source: RNAcentral